GCGGGGGCAUCAAGGCAUAGGGUGCCUCGAUGCGCGCGCGCUCUCGGAGGGUGGAGCCAUUCUGUGAAGGGGUCAGUGCCGCCUUCCAACCGCCGGCCGCCAUUGCGCUCCCCACAUUUCGUUACGGCCGGUCCAGAGAGACACGUGCACGACGUUUUCUUGUCCGAAAUGCCCGGGUGUUGCGUGCCCCGGUGACCGAACCACUCACGGAAUGACUUGAAAAUGUUCCGAUCUCCUAAAGAAUCGAAAAGACGACUCCUCUGGCUGGUUAAGGUCAAGCGCGACAAGUGGCAACCCACGGACCGGUCGUGUGUGUGCAGCGCGCAUUUUCAAGAAAUCGCCUUUGAGCAGAACCGGGCGGACGGCUGGAAAAAAUUGAAGCCCAAUGCUGUGCCAACGCUCUUCUCGUUCAGAGCGAUGCCUAAGCACAGGAAGCCGCCAAAAGAAAGGCUUUUACCACAAGGGGCACUUGCGGCAGAAGAAGGAACACAUACUCUGCAGCAUCGACCCAGUCCUUCUGAUACCUCACCGACAGACAUUUAAGACCAGCAUGUCAACGACGUGGCUGAUGGCUGAUGUGGCGACGAGGUGCUGAAAAAGAAAGUGCGCUGAAGAUGUUCAAGAAGAAAUUGAUGAUGGCGAAAUUCUUUUCAUUGAAGCACUGACUUCAGUUGAGUGCAGCAUUUUGCACCAUAUUGGUGGCUUUCUUGUGAAAGGAAAUUAAAAAAAAACGAAAAACUGCGAGCAGUGCAGGGCUGUAAUGCUGAGCUCGACGAGCCAUGAGCAUGCAUAUUUAACUGCACUAAAAGAGUAUGUUCAUGAUGGUAAGAACUUAUGUUAUCCGAGCGGUGAAGUUAUGAGCUUGCUCACAUCCUGCGAAGAGCACUUUAAAGGAAUCACGUCCUGGUCUGACAACCUGUUCCCCCUAAUGUCUCCUCUAAAGGCUGUGACAGAAUAUUUAAUCAUGGGGGCUCAGUGCAGUCUGGAGGCAUGCCAGUGACACAAGGAUUUUCUGGAACACAUAUUGAUAUCAAGUUAUGCAAGAGUAAGGCUAUGCAUUCACCUGCGCCAGCUCGAAGCUGCGAGAAUUAGUGGGCAUAGAAGCAAGACAUGCGCUGCAGUUAAUUUGCAGUGAGUUGUAGCGCUUGUUGUUUUUGAAAUCCUCAAAGUUCCCGACCAAAUAAACAA
Long non-coding RNA from Dermacentor albipictus, 1188 nucleotides. RefSeq lists it as uncharacterized. The record is from RefSeq and is a predicted model, not a curated record. NCBI's taxonomy places the organism in Eukaryota, Metazoa, Arthropoda, Arachnida, Ixodida, Ixodidae.